AACGAACGCUGGCGGCAUGCCUAACACAUGCAAGUCGAACGAGACCUUCGGGUCUAGUGGCGCACGGGUGCGUAACGCGUGGGAACCUGCCCUUAGGUUCGGAAUAACUCCCCGAAGGGGGUGCUAAUACCGGAUAAUGUCUUCGGACCAAAGAUUUAUCGCCUUUGGAUGGGCCCGCGUUGGAUUGGCUAGUUGGUAGGGUAAAAGCCUACCAAGGCGACGAUCCAUAGCUGGUCUGAGAGGAUGAUCAGCCACACUGGGACUGAGACACGGCCCAGACUCCUACGGGAGGCAGCAGUGGGGAAUAUUGGACAAUGGGCGAAAGCCUGAUCCAGCAAUGCCGCGUGAGUGAUGAAGGCCUUAGGGUUGUAAAGCUCUUUUACCCGGGAUGAUAAUGACAGUACCGGGAGAAUAAGCUCCGGCUAACUCCGUG
RNAcentral lists this ribosomal RNA (433 nucleotides) under uncultured bacterium. Its description in RNAcentral is "partial 16S ribosomal RNA". It matches the Rfam family "Bacterial small subunit ribosomal RNA", at positions 29 to 507 of the family's 1533-position model. The record is from RNAcentral.